Polistes dominula (European paper wasp) is the source of this 646-nucleotide long non-coding RNA. NCBI's taxonomy places the organism in Eukaryota, Metazoa, Arthropoda, Insecta, Hymenoptera, Vespidae. The record is from RefSeq and is a predicted model, not a curated record.
AUAUCACUAUUUUGUAAUUUGUUACUAUCCGCCAUUCAAUCGUGCGAUUGGUAAAUUAAACAAACGAAGAAGAAAAUAUUAACCAAUCAAAGGACGACCGGCCAUAUUUAAUGACAGACACGUCAUGAAAGGUGCAACGAAAAUGCGUACGGUAAUAAUCGAAGAUCCAACAAUUUGAUCUGAAUUUAACAUGAACGAUAUUCACUCUCUGGAAUCGCACAAAUCCUAAAACACAUAUCGAACUUCGACGAUUUGUCAGCGCGUUCUUCGCAAUCCAAAGAUCCUAGGUUUGUUUACCCGGGCGCUCAGUCUCUGGACCAUUGUACCCGGGCGCUCAGUCUCUGGACCAUUGUACCCGGGCGCUCAGUCUCUGGACCAUUGUACCCGGGCCCCUUACGGGGAGAAACCUAUGACCAUAGCGGUCCCGCGGGCAGCCCCGACUCCCUUGCAAAGCGCAGGAGUCUGGCCGCCUCUGAGUCCACUAGGUCGGAAUUAUGAAUAAUUAAUUUCAAAUGUUUAUUAAAUAUAAAAGAGAAAAUUAAUUUUUACAAAUUAAAUUUCAUACUUUUUAAAAUAAAGUAAAUCGAAUUAACCUUAAACGUUUAACAUUUGUGCUUAAAUUUAAACAAUUUUUUAAGAUAACUUA